UACAGAGGUCUCAAGCGUUGUUCGGAUUCAUUGGGCGUAAAGGGUGUGUAGGUGGCGCGCUAAGUCGGGUGUGAAAUUUCGGAGCUUAACUCCGAAACUGCAUUCGAUACUGGCGUGCUUGAGGACUGGAGAGGAGACUGGAAUUCAUGGUGUAGCGGUGAAAUGCGUAGAUAUCUGGAGGAACACCGGUGGCGAAGGCGGCAUCCUGGACCGGUAUUGACGCUGAGGCGCGAAAGCCAGGGGAGCAAACGGG
This 253-nucleotide ribosomal RNA is filed under the name uncultured bacterium. RNAcentral describes it as "partial 16S ribosomal RNA". It matches the Rfam family "Bacterial small subunit ribosomal RNA", at positions 524 to 776 of the family's 1533-position model. The record is from RNAcentral.